UGCAUCUGCAGCCCAUGAGGAUGAGAACCUCCGGGGGCAGGGAGGUUCGACUCGAGCGAAGCGAGAGAACGUUGCGCCAGCAACGGCCCGCAGGG
This 95-nucleotide small RNA is filed under the name Escherichia coli. RNAcentral describes it as "partial RtT sRNA". It matches the Rfam family "RtT RNA", at positions 1 to 91 of the family's 130-position model. Rfam says of the family: This family represents a bacterial cis-regulatory element known as RtT RNA. The exact function of RtT is unknown although it is thought that it may be involved in changing the cellular response in relation to amino acid starvation. Lineage: Bacteria; Pseudomonadati; Pseudomonadota; Gammaproteobacteria; Enterobacterales; Enterobacteriaceae. The record is from RNAcentral.